This 25-nucleotide non-coding RNA is filed under the name Rattus norvegicus (Norway rat). Lineage: Eukaryota; Metazoa; Chordata; Mammalia; Rodentia; Muridae. The record is from RNAcentral.
UAGCAAACUCUGCUUAGGAUUGAUG